AGUGAAAUCCAGAAUGAAAAAAGAACUCCCUGACAGUCAGUUGUUAAAAGUGACACAACAAAGCAGUUGUGUGAUAGUAACUGAGCAAGGGUAACUGAGGGGGGAAACAGAAAACAAUGCUCGCUCUUGAAGAGUUUACAGUCUAAGAUGGUGGUUCUCACAGCAUGAAGAUACCUGGGAACUUGUUAAAAGUGCAAAUUAUCAGGCCCCACUCCAGAUCUACUGAAUCAGAAACUCUAGGUUGGGGUCCAAAAUCUGUUUUAACAAGCUGUCCCCCACCAGGUGAUUUUGACGAAUAAAAUGUGAGAAUCACUGGUCGGAGGGAAGGAAACAACCAAUAUUAACAAAGUUAUGUAAAUAAGACGUGAUGUGGUGGAAAGAGGAGUGGUCUAAGAUCCUGGCUUCCUUGCACAGUAGCUGUGUGAGCCUAGGCAAGUUAUUUAGUCAUGCUGAGCUCCAAUUUCUUCAUCUGGGAGGUGCUAACUGCUUCACUUACUUCAUUAGAAAAAAAAAUGAGCAUCAAACGAGAUAAGGUAUGUGGCAACAUCUCACAAUCUGAAAGCUCCAACUAAAUGUAAAUUAGUAUUAGGAAAGCUAUAUGCUCAAUCUCAGGGAGCGGCUGGAUAGGAUAGAACCAUUCAUUCAUUGUACAAACAUUUAUAGAGCACUUACCACAUGCCAGGUUUUUUCCGUACCGGAUACAAAAAUAAAUGACUUCUGCCACCCAGUCGUCCACCAUUUGGAGUUGCUCAUUAAAGACCUGGAGUGGAGGAACAAGGCUACCAGAAUUUUGAAGAAGGGAGUAACCCACUUGAGUGAAGAGCAGGGAGGUGUAGGCUCCACACAACAGAAUCUAAUUCCCAAGGGCAGAGGCCUUGUCUGAGUCGUACCACGCCCCCGGGGCCCGGAGCAGCGUCUGGCACCUCGAAGUCACUCAAAUACGUGAGGCAGCGCGGGCGGCGGAAGCGCGGGCGGCGGAAGCGCGGGCGGCGGAAGCGCGGGCGGCGGAAGCGCGGGCGGCGGAAGCGCGGGCGGCGGAAGCGCGGGCGGCUCGCUGCCCUUCAGAGGAACAGCUUGAAAGUUGAGGAAACACAUGUAGUAGAAGUAAUAGUUCCGCUUGAGAGCAAUGAAAAGUGAAGCAGUACAUGUUGCUGAUUUAUCCUGAUGUGUGAAAAUUUUCACAGCUGUAUACAAGACACAUUCAUCUAACUGAAGAGGUUUUUCAGUCCCUAUAGGACUACAGUCAGAACAAAGGAAGAAGGAAACUCAGUUUUCCCUGCUCUGUUAGAACAAGACUGGGAACUCUCUACUCUUACUGGCUGGAGCUAGAAAGACCAGGUCAUUUAGAUGUCUGUGAGACCUCUCGCCAAAGCCAAGAAUAAAAGAUGGAAAAAAAAAUUUAUAGUGGUACAACACUCACAAUUUAUAAUUCUGAUUUUUGAAGUAUUAACUAAUAAGUAGUAUAUUGAAAUACACGUUAUGAUGCUAAGCUGAUUACUCUAUUAGACCAAUUUGGUAUACAAAAUAAUAUUAAGUCUCCUGAGAACUUUGGAAGAAAGAGUAGGUGAAACAAUGCAUUUUUACAGAAUUUGGUAAAUAAUCAUUUUUCUGUAGUGCCAUUUUAUAAAAUGUGUGACCUGCUGAGCUUUUUCAUAUCAAAUGUUCUAGUUAAUUAGCCACUUAACUUCUCAUAAAGUAUUAUCUAAACCUUCCAGAAAUGUAAUCGCUCUCACAUUCAUGCCAUAAUUCAAGGAUCAAUAAGAGCUAUUCGUGAUUUCUAUAAUCAAACAAAAAUAUAACACAAAUAAACUCUGAAUGUGCUCGUUUGGAAUAAUUUUUCAUGACCACUGCUUAGUUAUGUGUUUAUGACUUUCUAUACCCUUCAAGGAGGAGUCCUCUUAGGAGUGCUAGGCUUACCGUUGGUACUUCUGG
Equus caballus (horse) is the source of this 1932-nucleotide long non-coding RNA. The record is from Ensembl. Lineage: Eukaryota; Metazoa; Chordata; Mammalia; Perissodactyla; Equidae.